AGAGUUUGAUCCUGGCUCAGGAUGAACGCUAGCGGCAGGCUUAAUACAUGCAAGUCGAGGGGUAGCAUGAUUGUAGCAAUACAAUUGAUGACGACCGGCAAACGGGUGCGGAACACGUACACAACCUUCCUACAAGUGGGGAAUAGCCCAGAGAAAUUUGGAUUAAUACCCCGUAACAUAGCGAUGUGGCAUCACAUUGCUAUUAUAGCUUCGGCGCUUGUUGAUGGGUGUGCGGCUGAUUAGAUAGUUGACGGGGUAACGGCCCACCAAGUCUACGAUCAGUAGCUGAUGUGAGAGCAUGAUCAGCCACACGGGCACUGAGACACGGGCCCGACUCCUACGGGAGGCAGCAGUAAGGAAUAUUGGACAAUGGACGCAAGUCUGAUCCAGCCAUGCCGCGUGAAGGAUUAAGGUCCUCUGGAUUGUAAACUUCUUUUAUAAGGGACGAAAAAAGGUCUUUCUAGAUCGUCUGACGGUACCUUAUGAAUAAGCACCGGCUAACUCCGUGCCAGCAGCCGCGGUAAUACGGAGGGUGCAAGCGUUAUCCGGAUUCACUGNGUUUAAAGGGUGCGUAGGCGGGCAGGUAAGUCAGUGGUGAAAUCCUAGAG
This 608-nucleotide ribosomal RNA is filed under the name uncultured freshwater bacterium. Its description in RNAcentral is "bacterial SSU rRNA". It matches the Rfam family "Bacterial small subunit ribosomal RNA", at positions 8 to 607 of the family's 1533-position model. The record is from RNAcentral.